UGAAACAGGGGUUCUCGUCCACCCAAAGAAGUUAAGCAACGUAGAGCUUGGUCAGUACCUAGAUGGGUGACCGUUUUGGAAUACCAAGUGCUGCAAGC
Acanthosepion pharaonis is the source of this 98-nucleotide non-coding RNA. Lineage: Eukaryota; Metazoa; Mollusca; Cephalopoda; Sepiida; Sepiidae. The record is from the annotation of a GenBank genome assembly.